CAGUAGCCGCGGGAAUACGUAGGGUGCGAGCGUUAAUCGGAAUUACUGGGCGUAAAGCGUGCGCAGGCGGUUUUGUAAGACAGAGGUGAAAUCCCCGGGCUCAACCUGGGAACUGCCUUUGUGACUGCAAGGCUAGAGUACGGCAGAGGGGGAUGGAAUUCCGCGUGUAGCAGUGAAAUGCGUAGAUAUGCGGAGGAACACCGAUGGCGAAGGCAAUCCCCUGGGCCUGUACUGACGCUCAUGCACGAAAGCGUGGGGAGCAAACAGGAUUAGAUACCCCCGUAGUCCCUGUCUCUUAUAC
RNAcentral lists this ribosomal RNA (301 nucleotides) under uncultured bacterium. RNAcentral describes it as "partial 16S ribosomal RNA". It matches the Rfam family "Bacterial small subunit ribosomal RNA", at positions 509 to 807 of the family's 1533-position model. The record is from RNAcentral.